CCUACGGGGUGCAGCAGUCGAGAAUCAUUCACAAUGGGGGAAACCCUGAUGGUGCGACGCCGCGUGGGGGAAUGAAGGUCUUCGGAUUGUAAACCCCUGUCAUGUGGGAGCAAAUUAAAAAGAUAGUACCACAAGAGGAAGAGACGGCUAACUCUGUGCCAGCAGCCGCGGUACUACAGAGGUCUCAAGCGUUGUUCGGAAUCACUGGGCGUAAAGCGUGCGUAGGCUGUUUCGUAAGUCGUGUGUGAAAGGCGCGGGCUCAACCCGCGGACGGCACAUGAUACUGCGAGACUAGAGUAAUGGAGGGGGAACCGGAAUUCGCGGUGUAGCAGUGAAAUGCGUAGAUAUCGAGAGGAACACUCGUGGCGAAGGCGGGUUCCUGGACAUUAACUGACGCUGAGGCACGAAGGCCAGGGGAGCGAAAGGGAUUAGAUACCCGAGUAGUC
Molecule: ribosomal RNA, 446 nt
Filed under: uncultured bacterium
Lineage: Bacteria
Description: partial 16S ribosomal RNA
Rfam family: Bacterial small subunit ribosomal RNA
Source: RNAcentral